This 546-nucleotide ribosomal RNA is filed under the name uncultured bacterium. RNAcentral's name for it is "partial 16S ribosomal RNA". It matches the Rfam family "Bacterial small subunit ribosomal RNA", at positions 355 to 895 of the family's 1533-position model. The record is from RNAcentral.
UGGGGAAUUUUGGACAAUGGGCGAAAGCCUGAUCCAGCAAUGCCGCGUGUGUGAAGAAGGCCUUCGGGUUGUAAAGCACUUUUGUCCGGAAAGAAAUCCUUGGCUCUAAUACAGUCGGGGGAUGACGGUACCGGAAGAAUAAGCACCGGCUAACUACGUGCCAGCAGCCGCGGUAAUACGUAGGGUGCAAGCGUUAAUCGGAAUUACUGGGCGUAAAGCGUGCGCAGGCGGUUUGCUAAGACCGAUGUGAAAUCCCGGGCUCAACCUGGGAACUGCAUUGGUGACUGGCAGGCUAGAGUAUGGCAGAGGGGGGUAGAAUUCCACGUGUAGCAGUGAAAUGCGUAGAGAUGUGGAGGAAUACCGAUGGCGAAGGCAGCCCCCUGGGCCAAUACUGACGCUCAUGCACGAAAGCGUGGGGAGCAAACAGGAUUAGAUACCCUGGUAGUCCACGCCCUAAACGAUGUCAACUAGUUGUCGGGGAUUCAUUUCCUUAGUAACGUAGCUAACGCGUGAAGUUGACCGCCUGGGGAGUACGGUCGCAAGAUU